This 868-nucleotide ribosomal RNA is filed under the name uncultured bacterium. RNAcentral's name for it is "bacterial SSU rRNA". It matches the Rfam family "Bacterial small subunit ribosomal RNA", at positions 8 to 863 of the family's 1533-position model. The record is from RNAcentral.
AGAGUUUGAUUCUGGCUCAGGAUGAACGCUAGCUACAGGCUUAACACAUGCAAGUCGAGGGGAAACGACAUCGAAAGCUUGCUUUUGAUGGGCGUCGACCGGCGCACGGGUGAGUAACGCGUAUCCAACCUGCCCAUCACUUGGGGAUAACCUUGCGAAAGUAAGACUAAUACCCAAUGAUAUCUCUAGAAGACAUCUGAAGGAGAUUAAAGAUUCAUCGGUGAUGGAUGGGGAUGCGUCUGAUUAGCUUGUUGGCGGGGUAACGGCCCACCAAGGCGACGAUCAGUAGGGGUUCUGAGAGGAAGGUCCCCCACAUUGGAACUGAGACACGGUCCAAACUCCUACGGGAGGCAGCAGUGAGGAAUAUUGGUCAAUGGGCGAGAGCCUGAACCAGCCAAGUAGCGUGCAGGAUGACGGCCCUAUGGGUUGUAAACUGCUUUUAUAAGGGAAUAAAGUGAGUCUCGUGAGACUUUUUGCAUGUACCUUAUGAAUAAGGACCGGCUAAUUCCGUGCCAGCAGCCGCGGUAAUACGGAAGGUCCGGGCGUUAUCCGGAUUUAUUGGGUUUAAAGGGAGCGUAGGCCGGAGAUUAAGCGUGUUGUGAAAUGUAGAUGCUCAACAUCUGCACUGCAGCGCGAACUGGUUUCCUUGAGUACGCACAAAGUGGGCGGAAUUCGUGGUGUAGCGGUGAAAUGCUUAGAUAUCACGAAGAACUCCGAUUGCGAAGGCAGCUCACUGGAGCGCAACUGACGCUGAAGCUCGAAAGUGCGGGUAUCGAACAGGAUUAGAUACCCUGGUAGUCCGCACGGUAAACGAUGGAUGCCCCUGGUUGGUCUGAAAUAAGGUCACCGGGCCAAGCGAAAGCAUUAA